This 421-nucleotide ribosomal RNA is filed under the name Salmonella enterica. RNAcentral's name for it is "partial 23S ribosomal RNA". It matches the Rfam family "Bacterial large subunit ribosomal RNA", at positions 161 to 621 of the family's 2925-position model. The record is from RNAcentral. Lineage: Bacteria; Pseudomonadati; Pseudomonadota; Gammaproteobacteria; Enterobacterales; Enterobacteriaceae. RNAcentral also lists the same sequence under 1 other name.
AAUCCAUAGGUUAAUGAGGCGAACCGGGGGAACUGAAACAUCUAAGUACCCCGAGGAAAAGAAAUCAACCGAGAUUCCCCCAGUAGCGGCGAGCGAACGGGGAGGAGCCCAGAGCCUGAAUCAGCAUGUGUGUUAGUGGAAGCGUCUGGAAAGGCGCGCGAUACAGGGUGACAGCCCCGUACACAAAAGCGCAUGUGCUGUGAGCUCGAUGAGUAGGGCGGGACACGUGGUAUCCUGUCUGAAUAUGGGGGGACCAUCCUCCAAGGCUAAAUACUCCUGACUGACCGAUAGUGAACCAGUACCGUGAGGGAAAGGCGAAAAGAACCCCGGCGAGGGGAGUGAAAAAGAACCUGAAACCGUGUACGUACAAGCAGUGGGAGCACCCUUUGGGUGUGACUGCGUACCUUUUGUAUAAUGGGUC